CCUACGGGAGGCUGCAGUGGGGAAUAUUGGACAAUGGGCGAAAGCCUGAUCCAGCCAUGCCGCGUGUGUGAAGAAGGCCUUCGGGUUGUAAAGCACUUUCAGUGGGGAAGAAAGCCUUGGGGCUAAUACCCUCGAGGAAGGACAUCACCCACAGAAGAAGUACCGGCUAACUCCGUGCCAGCAGCCGCGGUAAUACGGAGGGUGCGAGCGUUAAUCGGAAUUACUGGGCGUAAAGCGCGCGUAGGCGGUCUGAUAAGCCGGUUGUGAAAGCCCCGGGCUCAACCUGGGAACGGCAUCCGGAACUGUCAGGCUAGAGUGCAGGAGAGGAAGGUAGAAUUCCCGGUGUAGCGGUGAAAUGCGUAGAGAUCGGGAGGAAUACCAGUGGCGAAGGCGGCCUUCUGGACUGACACUGACGCUGAGGUGCGAAAGCGUGGGUAGCAAACAGGAUUAGAUACCCGUGUAGUC
This 465-nucleotide ribosomal RNA is filed under the name Vreelandella stevensii. RNAcentral's name for it is "partial 16S ribosomal RNA". It matches the Rfam family "Bacterial small subunit ribosomal RNA", at positions 338 to 795 of the family's 1533-position model. Lineage: Bacteria; Pseudomonadati; Pseudomonadota; Gammaproteobacteria; Oceanospirillales; Halomonadaceae. The record is from RNAcentral.